RNAcentral lists this ribosomal RNA (445 nucleotides) under uncultured soil bacterium. RNAcentral's name for it is "bacterial SSU rRNA". It matches the Rfam family "Bacterial small subunit ribosomal RNA", at positions 26 to 518 of the family's 1533-position model. The record is from RNAcentral.
AGAGCGAACGCUGGCGGCAGGCCUAACACAUGCAAGUCGAACGAAUCCUUCGGGGUUAGUGGCGGACGGGUGAGUAACACGUGGGAACGUGCCUUUUGGUUCGGAAUAACUCAGGGAAACUUGUGCUAAUACCGAAUGUGCCCUUCGGGGGAAAGAUUUAUCGCCAUUAGAGCGGCCCGCGUCUGAUUAGCUAGUUGGUAGGGUAAAGGCCUACCAAGGCUACGAUCAGUAGCUGGUCUGAGAGGAUGACCAGCCACAUUGGGACUGAGACACGGCCAAACUCCUACGGGAGGCAGCAGUGGGGAAUCUUGCGCAAUGGGCGAAAGCCUGACGCAGCCAUGCCGCGUGAAUGAUGAAGGUCUUAGGAUUGUAAAAUUCUUUCACCGGGACGAUAAAUGACGGUACCCGGAGAAGAAGCCCCGGCUAACUUCGUGCCAGCAGCCGC